RNAcentral lists this transfer RNA (87 nucleotides) under Halomonas mongoliensis. Its description in RNAcentral is "tRNA-Leu". It matches the Rfam family "tRNA". From Rfam's summary of the family: Transfer RNA (tRNA) molecules are approximately 80 nucleotides in length. Lineage: Bacteria; Pseudomonadati; Pseudomonadota; Gammaproteobacteria; Oceanospirillales; Halomonadaceae. The record is from RNAcentral.
GCCGGCGUGGCGAAAUUGGUAGACGCAGGAGAUUCAAAAUCUCCCGGGGGCAACCUCUUGUCGGUUCGAGUCCGACCGCCGGUACCA